UGUGGGCAUUGGGUUAGUGUGGGCAUUGGGUUAGUGUGAGCAUUGGGUUAGUGUGAGCAUUGGGUUAGUGUGGGCAUUGGGUUAGUGUGGGCAUUGGGUUAGUGUGGGCAUUGGGUUAGUGUGGGCAUUGGGUUAGUGUGGGCAUUGGGUUAGUGUGGGCAUUGGGUUAGUGUGAGCAUUGGGUUAGUGUGGGCAUUGGGUUGGUGUGGGCAUUUCAUUGGGUUAGUGUGAGCAUUGGGUUAGUGUGAGCAUUGGGUUAGUGUGAGCAUUGGGUUAGUGUGAGCAUUUCAUUGGGUUAGUGUGAGCAUUUCAUUGGGUUAGUGUGAGCAUUGGGUUAGUGUGAGCAUUUCAUUGGGUUAGUGUGAGCAUUGGGUUAGUGUGAGCAUUUCAUUGGGUUAGUGUGAGCAUUGGGUUAGUGUGAGCAUUGGGUUAGUGUGAGC
Oncorhynchus tshawytscha (Chinook salmon) is the source of this 440-nucleotide long non-coding RNA. The record is from Ensembl. Lineage: Eukaryota; Metazoa; Chordata; Actinopteri; Salmoniformes; Salmonidae.